UGAACUGUCUAGAGAGACUUGGUGGAGGAGGCCACGGCCCGUCUUGUCCCUGCCGGGUCCUGGCCAGGUGUGUGUGCCCCAGCUCGACUCUCGGUGGUCUCCAGGCUGCAGCAGAAGGAAUACCUUGGAAUUGGAUGCCGGCUGGCCCCCCGAUGGUUCCUGGCCUAGGGGCUGUCAUGGCAGAGGGAAGCCACCAAGGGCCCUGUGCUAAUCACGAGUCUUUCCUGUUCAGAGCAGUGAGGCCUGAGACCCUCAACGGUGCUGUGUGUACAGAAGGCCCCCAGAAUCCACAGAAAGGGCCCGCCUGAAACCUAGAGCAUUUGUGAAGGAGGAGAAUGGAAGGAACAACUGGAUGUUGUAAAUGUUUCUCAUCUGGCCUUAAAAUCCAUGAAAGCUGGAAAAUGCCAAGGCAUCUGUGCACAUACUGGUGGAUUUUAAUGAGAGUCCUGUGUUUGGAGCACCAGAAAUAAACCAGCUUCAGAAGCAAAGUUAACAGGAGGAGGAAGCAGAGCUAGAGCUGGAAGGAGACCCAGCCAGCCCGGGCUCCAGUGACAUCAGCCGGUACACGCUCUUGUUUGCUUACGCUUGUUGAACUGAGUUUUUCAUAUGUAACUAACCAAUACUGGCACAUGUGAGACUGGGCAUGAUUCAGAAAAGCUGGAAGAUCUAGAGAGGGAUCUUGCAAUCUGAAGUUUGUUUAGUCACUGGAGGAUUUGAACGUCUAUGACACUCUUCCGAGCUGACACAGUGAAGAACAUG
Molecule: small RNA, 759 nt
Filed under: Pongo abelii (Sumatran orangutan)
Lineage: Eukaryota; Metazoa; Chordata; Mammalia; Primates; Hominidae
Description: processed transcript
Source: RNAcentral